This is a non-coding RNA of Ricinus communis (castor bean), 68 nucleotides long. Lineage: Eukaryota; Viridiplantae; Streptophyta; Magnoliopsida; Malpighiales; Euphorbiaceae. The record is from Rfam.
UCCCAAUGAGGAAGAAAUCCCUUAAAAGAUAGGAAGUGCCGUAUGACACUUUAACCAGCAGCGGUUGC